Molecule: ribosomal RNA, 500 nt
Filed under: uncultured bacterium
Lineage: Bacteria
Description: partial 16S ribosomal RNA
Rfam family: Bacterial small subunit ribosomal RNA
Source: RNAcentral
ACGCACGCUGGCGGCGUGCUUAACACAUGCCAGUCGAACGGUGAAGCACCUUCCUUUUGGUGGGUGUGGAUGAGUGGCGAACGGGUGAGUAACACGUGAGUAACCUGCCCCCUUCUUCUGGAUAACCGCAUGAAAGUGUGGCUAAUACGGGAUAUUCUGUGCCUGCUGCAUGGUGGGUGUGGGAAAGAUGCGCUUUUGGGUGUUUUUGGUGGGGGAUGGGCUCGCGGCCUAUCAGCUUGUUGGUGGGGUGAUGGCCUACCAAGGCGGUGACGGGUAGCCGGCCGGAGAGGGUGGGCGGUCACACUGGGACUGAGACACGGCCCAGACUCCUACGGGAGGCAGCAGUGGGGAAGAUUGCACAAUGGGCGCAAGCCUGAUGCAGCGACGCCGCGUGAGGGAUGGAGGCCUUCGGGGUGUAAACCUCUUUCGCCAGUGAAGCAGGCCUGUCCCUUGUGGGUGGGUUGACGGUAGCUGGAGAAGAAGCGCCGGCUAACUACGUG